UACGAAGGGGGCUAGCGUUGCUCGGAAUCACUGGGCGUAAAGGGCGCGUAGGCGGCGUUUUAAGUCGGGGGUGAAAGCCUGUGGCUCAACCACAGAAUGGCCUUCGAUACUGGGACGCUUGAGUAUGGUAGAGGUUGGUGGAACUGCGAGUGUAGAGGUGAAAUUCGUAGAUAUUCGCAAGAACACCGGUGGCGAAGGCGGCCAACUGGACCAUUACUGACGCUGAGGCGCGAAAGCGUGGGGAGCGAACAGG
Molecule: ribosomal RNA, 253 nt
Filed under: uncultured bacterium
Lineage: Bacteria
Description: partial 16S ribosomal RNA
Rfam family: Bacterial small subunit ribosomal RNA
Source: RNAcentral